CACUAAUUUUGGGGCUGGUCCUGGGAAUUGGUAUUCCCCUCCUGUUACUGCUGUUGCUGGCGGCCCUCGCCUGCUUCUGCUGCUGCUCACGCAAGAAAACAAUCUCUGGAGAUAUUCCUCAUCUGCUGCCCGAGUACAUUCAGGAGCAGUUCAACCCUCCGUUCAACUUUGACGACCCCUCUCUGCACUACAUCACCCACGUCAGCCCGCGUAUCCUUGACAACCUCACACCUCAACAGAAGCGCCGGUAUCGAUAACACAGGCCCUUAUUCCUCAUCUGCUGCCCGAGUACAUUCAGGAGCAGUUCAACCCUCCGUUCAACUUUGACGACCCCUCUCUGCACUACAUCACCCACGUCAGCCCGCGUAUCCUUGACAACCUCACACCUCAACAGAAGCGCCGGUAUCGAUAACACAGGCCCUGUGCGGUUCAUGCAGCAUCAGUGCAGAUGUAUAUAUCUGUACAUUUGUGUGAUCUCGAUAUGAUAUUAUUUAUAUUAAAAA
Molecule: long non-coding RNA, 503 nt
Filed under: Sinocyclocheilus grahami
Lineage: Eukaryota; Metazoa; Chordata; Actinopteri; Cypriniformes; Cyprinidae
Description: lncRNA (ENSSGRG00000054773.1)
Source: RNAcentral